RNAcentral lists this non-coding RNA (20 nucleotides) under Arabidopsis thaliana (thale cress). The record is from RNAcentral. RNAcentral also lists the same sequence under 3 other names. Lineage: Eukaryota; Viridiplantae; Streptophyta; Magnoliopsida; Brassicales; Brassicaceae.
AGCAUAUCAAUAAGCGGAGG